GGUCCCGUGAUGCAAUCGAAGCAUAUCAGACUCCUAAUCUGAAGGUUGCGAGUUCAAGUCUCGUCGGGAUCG
Molecule: non-coding RNA, 72 nt
Organism: Rhabditophanes sp. KR3021
Lineage: Eukaryota; Metazoa; Nematoda; Chromadorea; Rhabditida; Alloionematidae
Source: Rfam